Molecule: long non-coding RNA, 1688 nt
Organism: Rattus rattus (black rat)
Lineage: Eukaryota; Metazoa; Chordata; Mammalia; Rodentia; Muridae
Exons: 2
Source: RefSeq, a predicted model, not a curated record
CCUGCACUGUAAGUGCAGUCACCCACCCCAAACCAGUCAGAAAAUCUCUUGCAGGUGUGCCCACUAUUUCUUGAUUGACCAUUCCAGGUGUAGUCAAGUUGACAACCAGAGCUAGCAAUCACAGUUAGCUUUCAACUUUUAUUCUUUUUCAUGAGCUUGAACUAAUUGCCCUUUAUUUUUUACCACUUUAAAAACUUAUUUCUUAGAUUUAAGCAUCUGACAAUUUUCCCAACUUCAGGCAUUAGACACAUCAAAUAUUGUAUAGCACUUAAUUGUUAAAUUUUAUUAUAAAGUUGCUUAAAUAUGUGCAAGCAUAAAACAGCCUAGCUGCCUUAAACAAAGUGCUUGCAUAGUUGUAAAACAAAAACAAAAUUAGGAAUUAAAUAGUAACAAACUCCAAAACUAAAAAGGGUGGAUAACCAUUUAUUUAAUUUUUAAAACUAUUUUAGAUUAUAAUAUAACGUCAUUUCCCUCUUUCAUAUUCUUCCUCCCAUAUACUCUCUCCCUUAUUGUCUUUUAGAUUCAUGGACUCUCUUUAAUUGCAACAUACGUGUAUGUGUGGAGUUGCAGGGCUGGGAAUGGACCUCACACACACGCUAGGCAAGGCAAGCUCUAUCACUGAGCUUAUGUCCCCCAGCCUUGGGAUGAAAACACCACCUUGAGAAAAGUUCUACUUAAGGGAUAACCUGAAAGGUAACUCCAGAUAAACACGUGCACACGGAUGCAACUGCAUGCACAGUGUGCAAAAGCCAUCAGAAGAUCAUGUUCAAUGAAUACUACUGAUUUCCAGUUUUGUUUAGCUUCAUUUUCUUAGUUUUACACUGUGGGUAGAUCCAAAUUUACCCUUAUAGCUCUGGGUGCAUCGUUUUAGUUUCAAGGUCAAGAAUGUAAGAGGACGUGUGCAGUCUUCCUCCAUGUUACGACUUCUUUAACCGACAGUGUGAAAGACAUGAUCUUUGGCAUGUGGCUUUGUCGCCUGUUUCCAUUUAGUUGUGCUAUGACAGUUUGGAAAUGGCUAUAAAUGCAUAAACAACUGGAAUUUCUUUGAUAUUUUGCUUUGUAUGGUGGAUUUAUAAUGAAUUGCUCUCCAACUUCGCCUGUUAAGAAUCUGCUGUUUGAUGAUGGCUCAGUAGUUAAGAACUCUGACUGGUCUUCCUGAGGACCUGGAUCCAAUUCCCAGUACCACAUGGCAGCUCACAACUGUCUGUAUCGACAAUUCCAGGAGAUCUGGCACCUUCACAGAUAAGCAUGCAUACAAAACACCAAUGCAUAUAAUUUUUUUUUGAAAAUUGCUGUUUUUAGAAAAUUAUUUAUAGUUUAUAAAAAUAUAGCUUACAUUUUGAAUUUUCAAUAAACAUGGUACUUGUAAACCAUGAAAAUUAUUCUGAUUUAGCAGUGAAAAUAGAUACCUACAUUUUAAUAAUGGCGAUUGUUGAUUGCCCCUCAUGCCAGUAAGAAGGACGAGAUAUUUGAAUACAUAUAGUGCAGAACUGUAUUGUUUAUAAGACCGAUUCACAAAACUUAACAAUUGGCUAUUUUCAUUCAUCACAGUUUGAUGUUUUAGACUAUUUCAUUGUUUUGUUUAUGCCACUGUAUUGAAUUACAUCAUAUCAUAACUUGUUUACUUCAAGCAAUUUGAUUUAUUUGUAUUCAUAACAGUUUUUUAGUAAAGAUGGAUUUUUAAGGAA